UACGUAGGGUGCGAGCGUUGUCCGGAAUUACUGGGCGUAAAGAGCUCGUAGGUGGUUUGUCGCGUUGUCCGUGAAAACUCACAGCUCAACUGUGGGCGUGCGGGCGAUACGGGCAGACUGGAGUACUGCAGGGGAGACUGGAAUUCCUGGUGUAGCGGUGGAAUGCGCAGAUAUCAGGAGGAACACCGGUGGCGAAGGCGGGUCUCUGGGCAGUAACUGACGCUGAGGAGCGAAAGCGUGGGGAGCGAACAGG
This 253-nucleotide ribosomal RNA is filed under the name uncultured bacterium. Its description in RNAcentral is "partial 16S ribosomal RNA". It matches the Rfam family "Bacterial small subunit ribosomal RNA", at positions 524 to 776 of the family's 1533-position model. RNAcentral also lists the same sequence under 1 other name. The record is from RNAcentral.